Non-coding RNA from Monodelphis domestica (gray short-tailed opossum), 13408 nucleotides. NCBI's taxonomy places the organism in Eukaryota, Metazoa, Chordata, Mammalia, Didelphimorphia, Didelphidae. The record is from RefSeq and is a predicted model, not a curated record.
GCAGAGCUAAGCAGAGCAAAGCUGAGCCCCUGGUCCCAAGCUGGACAUGGAGGCGUAAUCUGAGGUUGAGAUACCUCCGAGGCAUCUUGGCCACGUCUAGAGGGACGCUAGUGUCGGGGGCCUGGAGCUCGGAAGAGAGGGGAGCUCUGUAGACACCCAUUUGGGCCUGAUGGGCACAGAAAUGACACUUGAACGGCGGGAGCUGAUUAGACCGCCAGGAGGGCUGAUGUAGAAAAAGGAGAAGGCUGCCCAGGAGGAGAGCCUGGCGAAUGGAUGACGAGAAAGCCAAGGAAACUGAGGAGCAGGCAUGAAAGCAGAAGGAGAAACGGGGCAGUGGCGUCCCAGAGGCCACGCCAGGACUCAGUGUCCAGGAGGAGGGUCAACAGUGUCCAACAGAGCAGAGACUUUGCUCAGGACAAUCAAAGACCCCUGGAUUUCAGCAGACAAGACAAACAAGCGUCCACAUUAAAGGCCACAGCUUGAGGGCACUUCUUAUCUCUCCCAGGCUUCUUGAGGGGCCCUUUCUGACCCUGGAAUGGGAAACGGCGAGCCAGCAGCGGAGAGGGAACUGCCACGGCCACUGCAGAGGCAGGAGAAAAGGUUUGAAGUCCUGGUUCUGAGCCAGAUUAGCCGGGCCCCCUUUUCUCUAACGCUCAGUCUUUGGUGACUGGUGUAGGCAAAGGCUGAGGUUCUCCCCCUUGACCCACACUAACUCCCCUUGCCACCAUGGCUGCCACGUCCUGUUCUAAGGCCUCCUCCAGCUCGGAUGUUCUCAGCUCUCAGGAUUCUCCCAUCUGGGACAUUGUCUGUUCCCACAUUCCACGUUCCGGGGUCCUUCCUAGCUCGGCCAUUCUGGGAAUCCGUUCUCUAAAGCCCUCUAACCCCAGGCUGAAGGAAGCUGGGCGACAUUUGUUCUGCCACUCCCUUGCCUUUUGCUGAUGGGAUGGGUUUUGCUCUGUUAAUGAGUGGUUUGUGGAGUGGCGGCUGUUCUGGGUCUCUGUUCUACCUCUGCUGCUUCAGGGUUUGCUGGUUCCCUGUACCACCUCUUCAAGGGGAGGUGCAGGUACGAGAGGCCAAGGGAUGGGCAGGGCCAGGGUGAUGGGCCUAGGGAGAGAGCAGUCAAGCCAAGCAGGGACACUUCUGCUCUUCUGGAAUGGGCCUCUUCCCCUGUCUGGAAUGACCCUGGACUUUUCCCAGCUCUGACUGCCCCCGUCCUUCAGGGUCCAGGUCUCAAGCCCAUCCUGAUCCUCCCCCCAGAAGGGACCCCCCCAAAUUCUAGCAGCUCUCCUAUACCUUUUAGGGUUUUUAUGCUGUUUAAUAAGAACAUUUUACUUUCCAUUUUAGUAAUUUCUCCUUUGAUUUUUAGGAUUUCCAAUUGAGCCUUCAAUCGGGGAUUCUUACUGGAUUCUUUUUUUAGUUCUUUAAUUGCAUGCCCAAUUCACGAGCUGCAUUUUCCUCGGUUUUAUUGAGUAAGAAUUGGAGUUAGAAAGGGCCAUCAAAAUCAUCCAGUGCUGGAUUUGAAGCUGCAAGGCUGGGUUCCAAUUCUAGCCCUUUCCCCUUUGUCCCUGUGAGACUCUAGGCAAGUGACCUCUUUUCUCUGAACCUCAGUUUCCCCAUCUAUGAGUGAGCAGAUUGGCCUGGCUGACCUUCUAGGGCCCUUCCAGCUCUUCCAGGUGCUUUUUGGAAUUAUUAUACCAUUUGGGUUUGACAACGAUUCUGGGAAAAGUGGGUGCUGUUACUAUUUCCAUUUCACCACUGAGGAAACUGAGGUAGACAUAGUAGACAUAGCAGCAGGGUUUGAACUCAGUCUUCAUGCCUCCAUGUCUUGCCAAGAUGCCACUGUAAUGCUAAUGAUGGACAUUCCUAUAACCUCAAAUAAAAGAUCAUAAGACAUGGGCAGCGAGGUAGCUGAGCCCUGAGGUCCUGGGCUGAAAUCUAGCUUCAGAUACCUCUGAGCUGUGUGACCCUGGGCAAGUCUCUUGCCUAGUCUUUACUGCUCCACCGAUAUACAAUGUUGAUUUUAAAAUGGAAAGUAAAGGUUUUAUUUAAAAAAAUGUUUUAAAUAUCAUAGGAUCAGGCUUAGGAAGGAUAUCAAGCCCAACCCUACUCAUUUUACAGGCAAGCAAACAAAGGUCCAAGGAAGGAACUGGACUUGCUCAAGGUCACACAAUUAAUAUAUGUCUGAGGUCAGAUUUGAACCAGGCUUUCUUGGCUCCUAGCCCAGAACUCUAUCCACUGCACUAUGAUGUUAGUAUUAUUAUUAUUGACCCAAUAAUAGAGUGACUAUCCUUUAUAUAAUGCUUUAUAAGUAUCACUUCAUUUAGUUCUCACACCAACCCUGAGAGGCAGGUGCUUUUAUUAGCCCCAUUUUAUAGAUGAGGAAAUUGAGGCAAACAGAGGUUAAGCAACUCACCCAGCCAGUCAAUGCCUGAGGGUGGAUUUGAACUCAGAUCUUACAAUUUAUUGUGACACCUAUCUGCCUCCCACAUUCAGAUAGAAUUAGAUAGAAUGUAGACUCCUUGAAAGCAAAGAUUAUUUUUAAUUUUCACUUUGUAUCCCCAGGACGUUCCGCAGUGCCCACAACAGAGCAGGUCUUGGUGAGUGAUUGUUGCAAUUUCUAGACAACUUCAGAAAGCACUUGAUAGAAUUUAGCCCACCUGAUCCUCUCCCCAACUACUAUGAGCUAGGCAGGGUAGAUAUUGUUACUAUUCAGUGGUUUUAGCCAUCUCCAACCCUUCCUGACCCCAUUUGGGGUUUUCUUGGUAAAGAGACUGAAGCAGUUUACCAUUUUCUUCCCCAGCUCAUUUUAUAGAUGAGAAAACUGAGGCAAAUGGGGUGAAAUGACUUGCUCAGGGUCACACAGCUAGCAUGUGUCUGAAGCCAAAUUUGAACUGACUCCAGGUCCUGUGCUCUCUCGACUGAGCCAUCUAACUGCCCACAUAUUCUCUCCAUUUCAUAGAUGAGGAAACUGAGGCUCAGAGACUUGCUCAGAGUCAGAAAGCAGGAGUUGGAUUCUUUUCCUUGAUCUCCCUCCUGUUGCAUACAAGUCCAGUAUUCUGCUUUUCCCUUACCCAGGAGAAUGCAAGUUCCUUGAGACUAGGGGUUUUUGUUGUGUUUUUCUCUUUGAAGUUCUAGUGCCCAGAACACUUAAUAAACGCUUGUGUCAUAUUCCCUAAGUGUAAGGCCAGAAUCCCAACUCAACUCUUAAGACUACAAAGCUAUACUCCGGCUCCAUUAAGGAACCCUGUAUACAACAAGUGCAUCAUUAUUGUUUCUUGAAUGGAAGGAAUUACAGAAUGAAAGAGAAAUGGUUCCCAGUUACCAAUAGGAUGAUAGGCCAAUGCUUGGAUGCUUGGAGAGACCUUAGAAGGUGUCUAGACGAAUCAGUUCUUUUUCUAGUUGAGGAAAUGGAGUUCCAGAGAGAAGUGACUUUUCCAAAGUCACAUGCCAAGCUAGAAGCAGAGGCAGAACUAUCCCAUAGACUUCAGACUUCCACCCAGGAGAAAUUUUUGACCAGACCAUGUUUUACCUAACAGGUAGCUGGGAUGGACUAUAUCCAGGCUCAGACCCAGGACCUUCUAAUGCAGUGAUGGUUAAUCUUUUAGAGAUUAAGUGCCCAAAUGGCACCUUCAUGCCACAUGUGAAUUGCUCCCUUGCCCCUGACAAGGGAGGGAGGAAGGACUCCCAUUGGGCUGCUGGGCAGAGAGGUGGACGAAGUGAAAAAUGCCCUCAGACAUAGUGGAAAGGGGGCAAGGAACAGCCCCUCUGGCACAUGUUCCAGAGGUUCACCAAAAUGGUUUUAAUGUCAUCAGAUUUUCCAGGAUUCAUUAUAGCAGAUGGAGUUGAAAGGAGGGGUUGCUGGGAAGAGAUCUUUGUUUGCAUUAGAGGAACAAAGAUGGCCUCAGUGACUUUUACCAGCUGAGAUAUGGAUGGAGUCCCUCCCUUCUGGAGCCCCACAAGGGUUUAUCUCUCCCCAACUUACUGGGUGCUUCUCAUUCGAUUAGAGGGAGUGCAGGAGUGGGGGUGAGGAGGAGCUCUGUAUCAGAAAUGAUCUGCUUUGUGGAAGAAGCAAGAUGCUGCCCCAAGGUUGUGGAGAUGCCAGAUAAGGCAGGCGUAUCUUCCCAGGAGAAAUCCUUCCAAGAAACAGGUAGAGGAAAAGCGGUACUUAAAGACACAGGAGGAGGAAUUCAAAUAUUCAAAUGUGUACAUCAUCAAAAGCAAAUCAGCAGGUGGAGGGAGGAAACUGGGCUUGGGAAGAUCUAGUUUCCUGGCACUUGCUACCAAGAGACCCUGAGCAAGUCAUUUCCCUUUGGACCUCACUCUCUUCAUAUGCCAUAAUAAUGCUUAGAGUAUCUCCCUCCUAGAACAAUUCUAGGGCUCAAGGGAGGGAAAGCAGAGCCCAUGUCUGUCCUGGGUAGCAGAGCAUCUGGGCAGGUCUAACUCUGCCAUUCGUUAGCUGUUGCAACUGGGACCAUCAGAAGGAGGAUGAAUUUUGAAUGAAAGAACUAGGGCUAUAAGGAACCUCAGGGGCCACCUAACCUAAAUUACCCAUUUUCCAGAGAAGGAAACUGAGGUCUUAGGAGGUUGGUUGACUUACCAGUUCCUUGAAGAGAGUAAGGGGAAGAUCCUAGACUUGAAUACAGGUUCCCUGACCUGAAAUCCAGCUCUCUUUCCAUAGUAGCACUCACCAAACUCUCAGAGAGCAACACCCUUUCCUUUCCCCCAGACAAACUCCCAGAGAUCUUCAGCAUUCAAAUCCUGGCCCUGGCAUUCUCUUUGAGGAGGAAGAAAGCCCAUUUCAUUCAUUUAGGCCAUUGACUCCCCCCGUACCUAGCACACUGCCUGGCACAGUUAUUGUUCAGUGGUUUCAGACAUCUCUGACUCUUCUUGACCCCAUUUGGGGUCUUGUUAGCAAAUAUACUGGAGUAGUUUGCCAUUUCCCUCUCCAGCUCAUUUUAUAGCUGAAGAAACUGAGGCAAAUAGGGUAAAGUGACUUGUCCAGGGUCACAAAGCUAGGAUGCAUCUGAGGCUAGAUCUGAACUCAGGACUUCCUAGCUCUAGGGCCUAGUGCUCUAUCCACUAUACUACCUAGCUGCCUUGGCACACAGUAGGUGAUUAAUAACCAUUGGAUUGAUUAUUCCAAAAACCCUAAACAAGUAAACCUAUAUUUAGUCCAAUAUUUUUUUAUUCAUCAGUUUACUGAACUAACCAGGCUCUCUGAUCUUUACCAAUAAGUUCUAAGCCUGAGUCACAUCCCUCUUGGCCUCCUCUUCCUCACCUCUAAUAGGAGGGGAAGUCAAGGCUGUGACACAGUUGCUCCUUUCGAAGAAGAAACAGGCCCCCGGCUCUCUCUGUGCCCCAGACAACUCUCUGAGCCUGGGCUCCUUAACUUUGGAGCCCCUGCUCCAUUUUAGGGGGGAUCUGGCACCCUUGUUUCCAUAGAAUUGCUUUCCUUGGUAAUCUUCUGGGCUUUCUUCUGCAUUUUAAAACUUUUUUUUUCUGCAAAGAGGUCCAUAGACUUCACCAGCCUGAGUGCCAGAGGGGUCCAGGACCCACAGAGCAAGGGAAAGAGCUUUGCCCCAAGACUUCAUCGGUGCAGUAAACACUUAUUAAGCACCUGCUGUGUGCCCAGUGCUGUUCAAGUCACAGAUGGUCUGCUCGGCUACAGAAGGAACUGUCACCUACCUUCCCAGCCUCAUGAUACAGAGCUCCCAUUUGCCUGCUCUAAAGUUCUGCCAAACUGCCUUCUUGCUGGUCCUCAACAAUACUAUUCUAUCUCCUCUCUGGAGGCAGCUGGUGGCACAAUGGAGAGAGUGUUGGGCCUGGAGUCAGGAGGACCUCAAUUCAAAUCCAGUCUCAGAUAUUUUUGCUAACUGAGUGACCCUCAGCAAGUCACUUAACUGCUCUCUGCCUCAGUUUCCUCAUUUUAAAAAAUGGGAAUAAUAAUAAUAAUCUCAGGAACCCUCAACAAGUCAUUUAACUACUCUCUGCCUCAGUUUCCUCAUUUUUUAAAAUGGGAAUAAUAAUAACAAUCCCAGGAACCCUCAAGAAGUCACUUAACUACUCUCUGACUCCAUUUCCUCAUUUUUAAAAAUGGGAAUAAUAAUAAUAAUCCCAGGAACCCUCAACAAGUCAAUUAACUACUCUCUGCCUCAGUUUCCUCAUUUUUAAAAAUGGGAAUAAUAAUAAUAAUAAUCCCAGCAUUGUUGUGAGGAUUGAACUCAGAUCAUGUUUGCUAAGUGGUUAGCACAGUGCCUGGCACAUAGUGGGCAUCAUAUAAAUGCUUUCUCCCUCCCUUCCCUCCCCUCCUUUCCCUGGUCUGCAGCUAUGGCUCAGAUGCCAAUAAACCUUUCCAGGCAAUACUACACAGCUCUCCACUCUAUAUUUCAGCCCAAAUGGUCUACUUCUUAUUCCCCAGGGGGGAAUGAUUCAUUCCCCACUUCCACACCUUUGCUCAGGCUAUCCUGAGUAUCUAGAAUGUGCUCUGCCACUCUAAUUUCCUUCAGAUCUCAGUUCUCAAAGGUUGCCUUCCCCAUGCAGCCUUUCCUGAUCCUCCCUCCCCCAAAUAGUCUAUUAGAAUGGGUUCUCCUGGACUUAGUUUACUUAUACUUAUAAAAGAGUUUAUUGUCUCCCUAUGUUAGCUAGCAUUUAUAUGGAGCUUACUGUGUGCCAAGAACUGUGCUAAGCCCUUUGCAAACAUUAUCUCACGUGAGCCAUACUCCAGCCCUGGUAGGUAGAUCUUAUUAUUCUGCUCAUUUGUCAGAUGAAGACAUUAAGGCAAGCAGAGUCAAAUGACUUGUCUAAGUUAAUGCAUCUAGUAAGUGUCUGAGUCUAGAUUUGAACUCAGAUCUUCCUGACUCCAGGCCCUGUACUCUAUUCACUGCACCACCCAGCUUUCCUCUGGAAUGUAAUCUUGAAGGCACAGACGGUUACAUUUUUGAUCUGCAGCUUUCCUAGAACCUGGCUCAGUACGUGGUGGGAAUUUAAUGUUUGUCGACCGCCUGAUCAACCAAGAAAAGGGAGGCAGGUUCUACACCCCAGAAAUCACAGGCCCAGGCACAAUCCAAAGACUCCUCCCAGCUAGCCCCUGUGAAAUGUUCUGUUCUCUGGGUGACAGGGAAGGAAUGAUUGUUCUUGGAGGCCUCCCACUCCAGAAUUCUGUCUGAGCCAACACCAAGCAGCUUCCAGUGCAAUCCAGCCCUCUGGGGGUGUGACAUCAUCCCCUGGGGAAGAGGAGGGCAGGUGUGUGUGUGUGUGUGUGUGUGUGCGCGUGUGAGUGUGUGAAUGUGUGUGAGUGUGAGUAUGUGUGUGUGAGUGAGUGUGAGUGUGUGAGUGUGAGUAUGUGAGUGUGAGUAUGUGUGUGAGUGAGUGUGAGUGUGUAUGAGAAAGUGAGGUGUGUGUGUGAGUGUGUGUGUAUUUGAGAGUGAGCUGUGUGAGUGAAUGAGUGUGUGUGAGUGUGUGAGUGUGUGUGAGUGUGAGUAUGUGUGUGUGAGUGAGUGUGUAUGAGAGAGUGAGGUGUGUGAGUGUGUGAGUGUGUGUAUGUGAGAGUGAGCUUUGUGAGUGAAUGAGUGUGUGUGAGUGUGUGAGUGUGUAUGUGUGAGUGUGUGUGAGUGUGUGAGUGUGUGAAUGUGUGUGAGUGUGAGUAUGUGUGUGUGAGUGAGUGUGAGUGUGUGAGUGUGUGUGAGUGUGAGUAUGUGUGUGUGAGUGAGUGUGUAUGAGAGAGUGAGGUGUGUGAGUGUGUGUAUGUGAGAGUGAGCUUUGUGAGUGAAUGAGUGUGUGUGAGUGUGUGAGUGUGUAUGUGUGAGUGUGUGUGAGUGUGUGAGUGUGUGAAUGUGUGUGAGUGUGAGUAUGUGUGUGUGAGUGAGUGUGAGUGUGUGAGUGUGUGUGAGUGUGAGUAUGUGUGUGUGAGUGAGUGUGUAUGAGAGAGUGAGGUGUGUGAGUGUGUGUAUGUGAGAGUGAGCUUUGUGAGUGAAUGAGUGUGUGUGAGUGUGUGAGUGUGUAUGUGUGAGUGUGUGUGAGUGUGUGAGUGUGUGAAUGUGUGUGAGUGUGAGUAUGUGUGUGUGAGUGAGUGUGAGUGUGUAUGUGUGAGUGUGUGUGAGUGUGUGAGUGUGUGAAUGUGUGUGAGUGUGAGUAUGUGUGUGUGAGUGUGUGUGAGUGUGUGAGUGUGUGUGAGUGUGAGUAUGUGUGUGUGAGUGAGUGUGUAUGAGAGAGUGAGGUGUGUGAGUGUGUGUAUGUGAGAGUGAGCUUUGUGAGUGAAUGAGUGUGUGUGAGUGUGUGAGUGUGUAUGUGUGAGUGUGUGUGAGUGUGUGAGUGUGUGAAUGUGUGUGAGUGUGAGUAUGUGUGUGUGAGUGAGUGUGAGUGUGUAUGAGAGAGUGAGGUGUGUGUGAGUGUGUGUGUAUUUGAGAGUGAGCUGUGUGAGUGAAUGAGUGUGUGUGAGUGUGUGAGUGUGUGUGAGUGUGAGUAUGUGUGUGUGAGUGAGUGUGUAUGAGAGAGUGAGGUGUGUGAGUGUGUGAGUGUGUGUGUAUGUGAGAGUGAGCUUUGUGAGUGAAUGAGUGUGUGUGAGUGUGUGAGUGUGUAUGUGUGAGUGUGUGUGAGUGUGUGAGUGUGUGAAUGUGUGUGAGUGUGAGUAUGUGUGUGUGAGUGAGUGUGAGUGUGUAUGUGUGAGUGUGUGUGAGUGUGUGAAUGUGUGUGAGUGUGAGUAUGUGUGUGUGAGUGAGUGUGAGUGUGUAUGAGAGAGUGAGGUGUGUGUGAGUGUGUGUGUAUUUGAGAGUGAGCUGUGUGAGUGAAUGAGUGUGUGUGAGUGUGUGAGUGUGUGUGAGUGUGAGUAUGUGUGUGUGAGUGAGUGUGUAUGAGAGAGUGAGGUGUGUGAGUGUGUGAGUGUGUGUGUAUGUGAGAGUGAGCUUUGUGAGUGAAUGAGUGUGUGUGAGUGUGUGAGUGUGUAUGUGUGAGUGUGUGUGAGUGUGUGAGUGUGUGAAUGUGUGUGAGUGUGAGUAUGUGUGUGUGAGUGAGUGUGAGUGUGUAUGAGAGAGUGAGGUGUGUGUGUGAGUGUGUGUGUAUUUGAGAGUGAGCUGUGUGAGUGAGUGAGUGUGUGUGAGUGUGUGAGUGUGUGUGAGUGUGAGUAUGUGUGUGUGAGUGAGUGUGUAUGAGAGAGUGAGGUGUGUGAGUGUGUGAGUGUGUGUAUGUGAGAGUGAGCUUUGUGAGUGAAUGAGUGUGUGUGAGUGUGUGAGUGUGUAUGUGUGAGUGUGUGUGAGUGUGUGAGUGUGUGAAUGUGUGUGAGUGUGAGUAUGUGUGUGUGAGUGAGUGUGAGUGUGUAUGAGAGAGUGAGGUGUGUGUGUGAGUGUGUGUAUUUGAGAGUGAGCUGUGUGAGUGAAUGAGUGUGUGUGAGUGUGUGAGUGUGUGUGAGUGUGAGUAUGUGUGUGUGAGUGAGUGUGUAUGAGAGAGUGAGGUGUGUGAGUGUGUGAGUGUGUGUGUAUGUGAGAGUGAGCUUUGUGAGUGAAUGAGUGUGUGUGAGUGUGUGAGUGUGUAUGUGUGAGUGUGUGUGAGUGUGUGAGUGUGUGAAUGUGUGUGAGUGUGAGUAUGUGUGUGUGAGUGAGUGUGAGUGUGUAUGAGAGAGUGAGGUGUGUGUGAGUGUGUGUGUAUUUGAGAGUGAGCUGUGUGAGUGAAUGAGUGUGUGAGUGUGUGAGUGUGUGUGAGUGUGAGUAUGUGUGUGUGAGUGAGUGUGUAUGAGAGAGUGAGGUGUGUGAGUGUGUGUGUAUGUGAGAGUGAGCUUUGUGAGUGAAUGAGUGUGUGUGAGUGUGUAUGUGUGAGUGUGUGUGAGUGUGUGUGAGUGUGUAAGGCAUGUGUGAGUAUGUGAGUUGUGCGAGUGUGUGUGAGAGUGAAUUGUGUAUGAGUGUGUGUGGGUAUGAGAGUGUGAGUGUGUGUGAGAGAGUGUGAGUGUGUGUGUGCAAGGUAAAGAAACCGUACAUCAAAUGGGAGAUUGUGGCAUCUUCUCUUCAAAGGUACAAAUGGUCCCCAAAGCCCCAGCCAGGAACAAUGGAUAGCAGGUACUAAGGGACCCCUUUCUGCCCUGUUUAAGGGAAAGAGACUUCCUAACAAGCAAGACUAGUCCAAGGAGGGCCCCAUGUGUUUGGUCAGGAAACGAGGAAUCCCCGUCCCUCUCCAGAGCUCCUCCAGCAGGGUCUAGAUGUCCUCUUGGGAUGGGGCAGAGAGAAGGCUCAGGCUUGCGCUGCAGAGGAUGACGGGGUCCAGUUUGGCCAGGUGGGAUUCCAUGUAGGAAGGUGAUGGGAUCUGAGGAUGGGCAGGAAGGGACCAGAGAAGCCAUCCGAGUGAUGGAAGGAGCACAGUGCUGAGAGUCGGCAGCCCCCGGUUCUCCCGUCUGCCUCUGCUACCAAGUCUGUACUCUGGAGAAAGGCUGUCCGCUGCUCUGGCUGGGGGGCCAGGUAUGCAUGAGGUAGAUGCAUGGCAAAGCCGCUUGGCCACCAUGCCUCAGCUGGAUCUAGUCUAAGCCCCUUUCAGUUUCUUCCUUUGAAAGAGGCUUAGACUAGGUCACUUCCUGCUCCCUUAGAGACGGAAAUCUUCCUGCCCAUGGUGCCCCUGGUCCCUUUUCACUGGGCCACACUAUCCUUGCAAAAAGAGUUGAAAUAGAUGGCUUCUGGGGUCCCUUCCAGUUUGCAGUAUCCAUGAUCCAAUGGGUCUCAGGGGAGGGAAGUGAUUUCCCCAUGUCUGAACAGGAAUUCUUUCUGCAACAUUCCUGACCAUUUGUCAUCCAGCCUCUAUUUAAGUGAUGAGUAACUCACUGCCUCAAACGGUGGCCCCUUCCACUAGAUUGCCAGUUCUAAUGUUCCAUGUUCUAGGGGCCUUCCUAGUCCUGUCCCUUCAUUUUCUAGAGGCAAAUGGAUGUCAUAGUGGAUAAAGUCCUGGAACUAGAAUCAGGAAGACCUGACUUCAAAUCCAGACUGACACUGAUAAGCUGUGUGACCUUGGGUCAAACUGAAGCCCAAAGAGAUUGAAGGGCACAAACUCCGACCAAAUUAAUAGCAGAGGCAGAAAGAAAUCCUGGUUUUUUGACCUGCUUCUCUCUUCAUUAGAAUAUGAAAUAGAGGACUUCCCAGUAUUCCUGAAGAAAAGACCAGAUGAGAGGAGAAACUCUGAAAUGCAAACACUGAAGUCAAGAGAAAUAUAAAAAAGGUUUAACUCCAAAGCCAAUGGGUUUUCUCGUUUUACAAAUGAAGGCACUGUGGCACAUGAAAAUGAAGAGAAGCAGCCAGGUCAAGAUUUGAACCCUGGACUUCUGACUCCCCUCUCUUCUGGUGUUCCAUACUUGGGGAAAGUCAGGGUAAGAAUUGGGCGGAACGGGGAGGAGCGCCUGUGCCUCUGGACUCCCGAUCCUAAACUCUUCCCAUGAUACCACUGGGUCUGGUUGGCAUCCUCAGGAGUUCCCGGGACCCUGAUCCUGCCUUCCCAGCAAACAGCUGGCAGGUCCCCAGCUAACUAAAGGGGCAAGAUGCUUCCUUCUUCGCAGGCUUUCAGAAUGUGUCAGAUGUUUUAAAUUCCAGCUGGUCACUCUAACCUCAGUGAGUGAUAACAUCUAGCAGACAACUUCCUGCAUUCAGGGGCCCAGAGAUUGGCGAGGAAUCCUCUCUUCUCAGCUGCUGCCCAUGGAGGAUCGCAUGAAGACCAGGAAAGGGAAGAAAAAACCCCAAAGGAAUGAUUCCUUUUUGGGGUGGAUGGAGCUCCGGGCAGGGCAAAGCCAGUGCUUUGGGAAGGGGAAAAAAUAAAUGAAAUGAUUGCAAAUAGAAGCCAGCAGAGACAAAGGAGGGGCCGGCUCCUGCCUUUGCCAUCAGUUCACUCAGGGCAUAAGGGGGAGAAUUUGGGAGAGACACAGGAAAUUGGAGUUGCUAACUAAGUGAUUUUAGGCAAGUCAUUUAUGCUGUCUUGGCUUUAGUUUCCUCGUCGGUAAAGUCUAUAGAAUUAUACUUAAAAAAAACCCUUACCUUCUGCUUUAGAAUCAAUAGAUAGAAUUGUGGCAAGGACUAGGCAAUUGGAAUUAAGGGACUUACCCAGGGUCACAUAGCUAGGAAGUGUCUGAGGCCAGUUUCGAAUCUCCCAUCUCUAGGCCUGACUCUUAAUCCACUGAGCUACCCAGCUGCCCCCAAAGUUAUACUUUUUCUACCAGCCUCACAGGGUGGUAAUGAGAAGACUACUUUUCAAAUGAGAGUAUAGAUUAACAAUGUUAACUCUUUUAAAUCUGGCCUCAGAUACGCCCUAGCUGUGUGACCCUGGACAAGUCACUUAACCCCACAUUGCCUAGCCCUUACCACUCUUCUGCCUUAGAACCAAUACACAGUAUUGAUUCUAAGUUCAAAUCUGGCCUCAGAUACUUCCCAGCUAUGUGACCCUGGACAAGUCACUUAACCCCACAUUGCCUAGCCCCUUACCACUCUUCUGCCUUAGAACCAAUACACAGUAUUGAUUCUAAGUUCAAAUCUGGUCUCAGAUACUUCCCAGCUAUGUGACCCUGGACAAGUCAUUUAACCCCCAUUGCCUAGCCUUUACCAUUCUUCUAAGCCUUAGAACCAAUAUCCAGUAUUAAUUUAAGACAAAAGGUAAGGGUUUAAAAAAAUAAUGUUAAGUCUCUGUGCCUUGCUUUCUCCUUCCUAAAACAGGCAGAUUUCUCUCUUGUAUAUAGACUUUAGAGCUGGAAAGAAACACCGAGGCCAUUUAUUCUAAUGCUACCAUCAUCCAGGGAGAGCCACCUGGACUUUGUUGCCUUUGAUUCCAAUAAUGAAGGACCUUCCAGGAAACACUGAAGCGGAGCCUGGGGUCAGGGGAUAGUCAGAGGAGCAAAGCCUGGAAGGCCUCCUCUCUGCGGGCCAAUGAAGCCCUAAUAAUGUUCAGGAUCAUAACCCCGGGCGCCUCAAGAAAGGGCUAAACUGAGUUUCCCACGCUCUGUUAAUAAGACAGGGAAAUGUGAAAUACCUCAUCGAUACAGAUCUGGCCAAAAGGCAUUUUCCAUUUCGCUAUAACUAGCAGAGGCUCAGAGAAGUCCACACUGCUAAUAAACCACUUCUCCAAUCUGGGGUUCGGUUUCCUCCUCUAUUAAAUGGGAGGGAUGGCCUAGGAAAUCUGAGAUCCUGCGAGCUCCCUAGAUCUCCAUUUUCCUCAAAUAUGGGCUGCAAUGGAGGACAAGAGCAUUGAAUUUAGAGUCGGUAUUUGAGUUUGAACCCAGCUACUUAAGAAAAGUAAUGAUAAUAGAAUGGCUAGCAUUUGUUAUUUCCCUAACUUUAGUGUUGUGUGUGUGUGUGUUAGAGAGAGAGAGAGAGAGAGAGAGAGAGAGAUCUGAUUUGAUCCUAGGAUCAAAUCAAAAAUGCCCUGAAAGGGAAGGGGGGGGAAGGAAGGAAGGAAGGAA